Molecule: ribosomal RNA, 254 nt
Filed under: uncultured bacterium
Lineage: Bacteria
Description: partial 16S ribosomal RNA
Rfam family: Bacterial small subunit ribosomal RNA
Source: RNAcentral
GACGAACCGUGCGAACGUUAUUCGGAAUCACUGGGCUUAAAGCGCGUGUAGGCGGGCCGCCGCGUCGGCUGCUGAAAUCCCCCGGCUCAACCGGGGAACGGGCACCGAUACGGGCGGCCUCGAGGGGGGUAGGGGGGCCUGGAACUUCCGGUGGAGCGGUGAAAUGCGUUGAGAUCGGAAGGAACGCCGGUGGCGAAAGCGGCGCGCUGGACCUCUUCUGACGCUGAGGCGCGAAAGCUAGGGGAGCGAAUGGG